AACGAACGCUGGCGGCAUGCCUAACACAUGCGAGUCGAACGAGACCUUCGGGUCUAGUGGCGCACGGGUGCGUAACGCGUGGGAACCUGCCCUUAGGUUCGGAAUAACUCCCCGAAAGGGGUGCUAAUACCGGAUAAUGUCUUCGGACCAAAGAUUUAUCGCCUUUGGAUGGGCCCGCGUUGGAUUAGCUAGUUGGUAGGGUAAAAGCCUACCAAGGCGACGAUCCAUAGCUGGUCUGAGAGGAUGAUCAGCCACACUGGGGCUGGGACACGGCCCAGACUCCUACGGGAGGCAGCAGUGGGGAAUAUUGGACAAUGGGCGAAAGCCUGAUCCAGCAAUGCCGCGUAAGUGAUGAAGGCCUUAGGGUUGUAAAGCUCUUUUACCCGGGAUGAUAAUGACAGUACCGGGAGAAUAAGCUCCGGCUAACUCCGUG
This 433-nucleotide ribosomal RNA is filed under the name uncultured bacterium. RNAcentral's name for it is "partial 16S ribosomal RNA". It matches the Rfam family "Bacterial small subunit ribosomal RNA", at positions 29 to 507 of the family's 1533-position model. The record is from RNAcentral.